CGAAAACAAAAAAGCAUUGUUCUCCCUCACUGAUUGCUUCUUGAACUGUAAGAAAUGAGAAAAAUAAGAUAAGGCACCACCGAAAUCAGAAUCCAUUAUUCAGCCAAAACAAAAAGCGAAUAUCCAAGGAGCUCCCUCUCGCUCGGUACGUUUACCUGCACGGCACCGGACGCGGUGGCCCACGCUUCUUAAUACGGCGGCCCCAACACUGACUUUGGACGACGAUUACGCCGUUAUCGUUUCCAAUAUAUAUAUAUGUUAAUUAUUUAUUGCAUACCUGCUUCCACGUCGUAACAGACACUCUUACUACGCGGAUCUCCACCUCCUCCUUCCCUCCCCUCCACCGAUCUGUUCGUUAUAUAACAAUAAAUUCUCUCUGUCGCUUUCGUCCCUUUUUACAUCAAAACGAGACAACAGAAGCAGCUGAAGAAGAAGAAGAAGAGUCUCUCUCUCUUGGAGGAGGAACAACUGAACAACAUGGAGAAGCCUUUGCUUGGAGAAACUAGCGGCGAUGGCAGCUUCAAGGAACGAGAUCAAACGUCGACGUUUAAUCGCCGCUCUGAUGCUAUCACUCGCGGAUCUCGUUUUCAGAAGGCUGCUGCUCUCGUCGAUCUGGCUGAGGACGGAGUUGGUCUACCUGAGCAAAUUCUUGAUCAAUCAAACUUUGAAAGCGUUGCGAAAUUCUACUUUAUCUAUACUCAAUUUGAUAUCGUUUGGACUCUCAAUUACUUUGCAUUGAUAGUACUCAAUUUCUUGGAGAAACCUCUAUGGUGUUUAAAUUAUCCUGCGCAUUCUUGUGAGAAUGCCAGGGACUACUACUUUCUUGGGCAGUUGCCUUACUUAACUGCCGCAGAAUCUCUUAUUUAUGAGGGCAUAACACUCGUUAUACUCAUAGCGAAUAUUUUCUUUCCAAUUUCAUAUGAAGGGUCCCGUAUCUUCUGGAGAAAUCCUUUGAAUCUGUUGAAGGUCAUUUGCCUAUCAAUUUUGGUGGCUGAUUUAGUGGUUUAUUCUCUCUAUUUGUCUCCUGUGGCCAUCGAUUCUCUUCCUGUCAGGAUUGCCCCAUAUAUAAGAGUUAUCCUUUUUAUCCUGAGCAUCAGGGACUUGCAGAAUGGCAUCAUCAUACUGGCUGGAAUGCUUGGAACGUACGUAAAUGUCUUGGCUCUGUGGCUAUUAUUUCUUCUGUUUUCCAGUUGGUUAGCAUAUGUCAUGUUUGAAGAUACCCAGCAGGGGAAAACAGUUUUUACUUCAUAUGGCACCACAUUGUACCAGAUGUUUGUUUUAUUUACAACAUCCAACAAUCCAGACGUGUGGAUACCUGCAUACAAGGAUUCACGUUGGUAUUGCUUGUUUUUUGUUCUCUACGUGCUACUGGGUGUGUACUUUGUCACAAACUUGGUCCUUGCUGUUGUAUAUGAUAGCUUCAAAGGUCAGCUUGCAAAACAAGUUUCUGCCUCAGAUAGCAUGAGGAAAAGAAUGUUGAUGAAAGCCUUCAACCUCAUUGAUAAGUAUAAUGUUGGAUAUCUUAAUAAGGAGCAAUGUAUUCAUUUGUUUGAAGAACUUAACAAAUACAGGACUCUGCCAAAAAUAUCAAGAGAAGAAUUCGAGUUGAUAUUUGAUGAGCUGGAUGAUACUCGUGAUUUCAAGAUCAACUUGGAAGAAUUUGCUGACCUUUGCAAUGCAAUUGCUCUUAGAUUCCAGAAAGAAGAUGUUCCAUCUAUCUUUGAGAAUUGUCCUUCAAUCUACCUUUCACCAUUCUCUGAAAAUCUGAAAGCCUUCGUAAGGGGCCCCAAAUUUGGCUAUAUAAUAUCCUUCAUUCUUCUUGUGAAUCUGAUUGCCGUUAUCAUCGAAACAACGGUAAUAUAACAGAGCUAAUCCUUAACAAUUUUGUCGUCUUUUCAUGAUCAAUGUAUAGAGUUAAAUCUCCUAGAAAGUUUGAUUUCUACAUAUUCAAAUUCUGCUAAUAGUUUGUUUGAUAUAAAUGAAUUCCAGAAGGCUUGAUGGAGUUAAUUGUAAAUCCACGUGGUUGGUAUGCACACAUAUUCAUUUUGAAUUAUACCCCAAUAAUUACAUGGAAUUGGUUAUGCUUGAGCCAAAUUCUACAAGACUGGUAAAAUUUGUAAAUGAAUCUUAUGUUAGUGAGACUAUAAAUCUGACUGACUGUAAAUCUGACUUAAGUAAAAUUGAUUGAAUUUGCAAAUAAAUUCUACAUUUAAUGUACAUAAUGUAUUGAACACAGGGAAUUCAUCUACAGAUAAACUUAAGCAAGCGAUGUCUAAGAGAAGACCAAAAUUAAGAAGCUUUAGGAUCAAUGAGAGGCAUUUUAGAAUCCUACUGUGCUCUGACAUAUAUGAAAAAGGAUAAUUAAGACUUUACUUAUUAUCUGCUUGAAAAGUUGAUAUUCUUGUCUUGGUCACAAAACCAAAAAUUUCAAACAAUCACGAACAUUAAUGUAGUUACUUUCUUAAUGACUUUGAAUAUCUAAAUGCUGACUCAGUUUUACAAACCUUAUAUUGCAGCUUGAUAUAGAAAAUAAUUCUGCUCAAAAAGUGUGGCAAGUGGUGGAAUUUGUCUUUGGUUGGAUCUACGUUCUGGAAAUGGCACUAAAAGUAUACUCUCUUGGUUUUGAGAACUACUGGAGGGAUGGUCAAAAUCGAUUUGAUUUUCUGAUCACAUGGGUAAUAGUUAUUGGAGAAACUCUAACUUUUGCAUCGCCUCAUGGACUCACUUUUCUUUCAAAUGGAGAAUGGAUUCGUUACCUUCUCCUGGCAAGAAUGUUAAGAUUGAUAAGGUUGUUGAUGCAUGUCCGAAGUUACCGAGCUUUUGUUGCCACAUUCUUAACCCUCAUACCAAGUUUGAUGCCAUAUCUGGGCACAAUAUUUUGUGUCCUAUGUAUAUAUUGUUCUCUUGGUGUACAGGUACAUUGGGUGCUUUCUUCACCUGCUUACCUAUCAAAUCAAUCAAAUUGCACUCUAUUUCAUAGGAUUUUGUUUUCAUUGUCAACUUAUGCUUCCCAGUAAUAGGAAGAUCUUUGGUGGAAUUGUCAAUGCUGGGAACCCCAAUCUGGAAGACACAGAUCUUGCUGAUUCCGAGUAUCCUUUAUGGCUUUAUCUUAAACUGAACAUUUUCUUUUUUCAUGCAACUGUAAUACUUUGGCACUGUAAGACAUAAGUAGCCUCAAAUCUGCCUGUGGAUUGCUGAAGUAUAAUUGUGAGAGGAUGUCCUUUCCCGUGAUCAUAUAAAGAAUUAGCUAAAUAUUUGCAUUUUCAUUUGGACUACUUGCCUUUAUUUUUUUUUUUCUUUUUUGUUCCCCUGAUAUGGUUUUAUUUAGGUUACUGUUGGUUCCUGAAAACUCACAAUCCUUGACAAAAUCAGUUAUAUACUUUUCAAUUUUAAUGACUAUCCAAAUGGCAUGGUGACACUUUUUAAUCUGCUAGUGAUGGGGAAUUGGCAAAUUUGGAUGCAGAGCUAUAAGGACUUGACAGGAAGCUCUUGGUCCCUUGCAUAUUUCAUCAGCUUCUACCUUAUAACUGUUCUCUUGCUUUUGAAUUUGGUUGUUGCUUUUGUCUUGGAGGC
This 3573-nucleotide unclassified non-coding RNA is filed under the name Hevea brasiliensis (rubber tree). The record is from RNAcentral. Lineage: Eukaryota; Viridiplantae; Streptophyta; Magnoliopsida; Malpighiales; Euphorbiaceae.